GAUUAUUAGCAGUGCCAAACGUAACUCGUUCGGGGGAGAGGCCGUCCUCCUCCUUUUGCUGCCUGAAUGUAUUCACUUUCCUCAGUGGUAAUAUAUCAAAUUUUUACGUGUGCUCUUUUAACAGCUGGAGCAGCCAUCCCCCCCCCCCAAUUGCGCAUUUUUGUCCAUUCAUUCACUUUUUUACUGCCUGUCUAGGGUCCAAAAUGAACACUUGCUCAACCAGUUGACAGUAGAUAAAUCAGCGGGGGUCACCUGCCCCACAGACUGCUGUCACUUUGAGUCGCUAACAGUGGAGUGGGUUACAUUUGUUCUCAGUUUUCUCUGUAAAGUCUUUGUAAGGGAAUAAUAUCAGAGGCUGUGUAAAUGAGCUCUUUCUGCGACACAGAGCGGUUGUGUGAGUUAUCCCCAUGUGGCUCUCACAUUAGGUCCCCAGAAAUAUGAAGCUGUAUGAGAUUCUCUACACAGGGGAAAUGUAUAUGAACUCAAUUAUUUUAAUUUUGGGAUAUUUAAUUUAGUCUCUUUGUAAAUCCCUCUUCCUCUCGCCCCGGCCAUGUCACAGUACUGCCUUCAUCUCUUAAUCAGCUGCAGAGCCUCCGGGCCGCAGCGCAGCCGCACAGCAGCGUGUCCCGCCGCGGUCAGGGAGAACACGUCCUGUAUCCCUCCUCCAACCUCCCGUUGCUGCACAUUUUCUUGUUCUUGGGUUAAUGGUGAAAUCUCGGAUUGUAGAAUGUAAAUAUAUUUUUUUGUUUUUCGGUCAAUAUUAAUUAUUUAUUUUGUAUUGUUUGCGAAGUCUCAACUUCUUUCGGUCACAGGCAGGGCUGCUUUCUGUUGUUGUUGUUGGAAGAAAAACAACAUUUCAAAUGUCCUUUUACCGUGUUUCCACAGAGACGGCAUCAUCUUUUAAGUUUGUGGCAGAAGCAGUGUUGUGCUCUAGCCAAAUAGUUUAGUAAUAAAUGUUAGACAGCUAACCUUUAUUACCGUGUUCUAGUUAACUGUGGAAACAUAGAAGCACAUUUCUUUAAAUCGAGGGGAUCUGGGUUGAUCAUCUCACGAUAGACGUGCUGAAGGUCUUUGCACUUUUGCAGAUACCACACUCAUUUUAGUAUUUCAACUCAGCAUGCACAUAGAACAUGUUCAGUAUUACACAAUCAACCCCUUCUCCCCUCCUCAUGCAAAAUAUGUGAGAAUAUCAAAAAGUUAUAUCUGUUUUUUUGUCAUUGUAUCAAAUCAAUGUAUUAAUCAUCUUUAUAUAGUGAUGGUGCAUUUCAAUACUGCUUUAUCAAAGCAGGGAUUUGUUUUAAAGUUUUUGGCGAAUUACAUUUCAAUGAGGUUUUCUGUUUCUACUUCUUGCAUAUUGACAUUGACAGUACACACAGAUUCUCUUCCAUUCCUGUCAAUCUGCUGCAGUCUGUUUCAUUGUUCCAUGCGUUCCUGUUCCCUUACACUCUCUCUCCGCUGUGCUGUGCAGCAGCGUGUGUGUGUGUGUGUGUGUGUGUGUCCGGUCCCUGUUGAGAGCGAAGGCACGGGGAACAGCUGACCAUUGCACUAUCACGAGGCGCUCUCAGUGCCUUACACCUCAUCUCCUGGAAACUGUAGCGAGGAGAGCCGCCGCAGCUGAUCCAGUGUCUGAGAUCAGCUCCGGGUCAGGACUGGUUAUGAAUUUGUACGCAUGCUGGAGGAGUUCAAAUGAGUUGGACCCAAAUCGCCUCAUCUUCAUAACCUGUUCAUGUUAAAGCAGAAUGUAUUCGCUUUGAUCUUCGAUCAUAUUUCAAAAGAUUUUCUUUUUUCCAUUCCUCCAUGAUCAGAAGAAAGUCAAAGUGUUAUGGUUUUUUUAUAUACAGUUAUGGCUUUCUGCAACUCAAUAAAUACGUUUGUAAUGGAUAUUUGCCUUUGCAUGUUUGUAUCUUU
Molecule: long non-coding RNA, 1908 nt
Organism: Notothenia coriiceps (black rockcod)
Lineage: Eukaryota; Metazoa; Chordata; Actinopteri; Perciformes; Nototheniidae
Exons: 2
Source: RefSeq, a predicted model, not a curated record